AUUGAACGCUGGCGGCAGGCCUAACACAUGCAAGUCGAACGGUAACAGGAAGAAGCUUGCUUCUUUGCUGCCGAGUGGCGGACGGGUGAGAAAUGUCUGGGAAACUGCCUGAUGGAGGGGGAUAACUACUGGAAACGGUACCUAAUACCGCAUAACGUCGCAAGACCAAAGAGGGGGACCUUCGGGCCCCUUGCCAUCGGAUGUGCCCAGAUGGGAUUAGCUAGUAGGUGGGGUACCGGCUCACCUAGGCGACGAUCCCUAGCUGGUCUGAGAGGAUGACCGGCCACACUGGAACUGAGACACGGUCCAGACUCCUACGGGAGGCAGCAGUGGGGAAUAUUGCACAAUGGGCGCAAGCCUGAUGCAGCCAUGCCGCGUGUAUGAAGAAGGCCUUCGGGUUGUAAAGUACUUUCAGCGGGGAGGAAGGGAGUAAAGUUAAUACCUUGGCUCAUUGACGUUACCCGCAGAAGAAGCACCGGCUAACUCCGUG
RNAcentral lists this ribosomal RNA (490 nucleotides) under uncultured bacterium. RNAcentral's name for it is "partial 16S ribosomal RNA". It matches the Rfam family "Bacterial small subunit ribosomal RNA", at positions 30 to 507 of the family's 1533-position model. The record is from RNAcentral.